UAUAAAAUCAUUAAUAAUAUUCAAUAUAUUAAAUAAUAAUUUAUUUAAUAUUAAAUCCUUUCGUACUAUAAUAUUAUAAAUAAUUAAAGAUAGAAACCAACCUGGCUUACACCGGUUUGAACUCAGAUCAUGUAAGAAUUUAAAAGUCGAACAGACUUAAUUAUUAAGCUUCUACACCUAAAAUUUUUCUUAAUCCAACAUCGAGGUCGCAAUCUAUUUUAUCAAUAUGAACUCUCCAAAAUAAUUACGCUGUUAUCCCUAAAGUAACUUAUUUUUUUAUUCAUUAAUAAUUAAUCAAUAAUUCAUAAAUCAAUGAACUUUAAAAUAAUAAAAGUUUAUUAAAUUUUACUAUCUCCCCAAUAAAAUAUAAAAAAUAAAUACAUUUAAAUCUUCUAAUUAAUUUUAUAUUUAUAAUAUUAUAUAUAAGAUUUAUAGGGUCUUCUCGUCUUUUAAAUAAAUUUUAGCUUUUUUACUAAAAAAUAAAAUUUUAAUAUAUUUUUCUUGAAACAGUAUAUAUUUCAUCCAACCAUUCAUUCCAGUUCUCAAUUAAAAAACUAAUGAUUAUGCUACCUUUGUACAGUCAAUAUACUGCAGCCAUUUAAAAUUUCAGUGGGCAGGUUAAACUUUAUAUUUAAUCAUAAAGAGAUGUUUUUGUUAAACAGGUGAAUAUAUAAAUUUGCCGAAUUCUUUAAAAAAAAUUAUUAAUUAAAUUUAUUAUUAUAAAUUAUUAUACUAAUUUUAUCAUUAUUUCUAACUUAUUUUAAUUACAAAUUAUAUAUUAAUAAAUAAUUAAAAUUUACAAAAUUAUUAUUAUAUUUAUAAUAAAUUAUUACAUUUUCUUUAAUAUUGAAUAAUUUUAACCCUAUAUUUUAUAAAUUUAUUAUUAUUAUUUUUAAAAAUUUAUUUUAUAGCUUAUCCCAUAAAAUACUUAAAUAAAAUAAUUAUUUAUUUUUAAAAUUAAACAAAUAAUAUAAAAUUUAUAAAUUAAAUUUAUUUCUUAAAAAACUAGAUACCUUUAAAAACGAAAAACAUUUCAUUUCAAAUAUAUUAUUUAAAAUAAAUUUAUUACUUUAUAUUUAUUAAUAUAUUAAAUCUUUUAAAAUCGAGAAAUUUAAAUUUUUAAAUAUUAUUUAAUAAACCCUGAUACACAAGGUACAAAAAAUAAAUUUUUCUUUUUUAACUAUUAUUUUUCAUAAUAUUUCAAUUUUCUUUUUCAAUACUAUUAAACUAUAAUUAAUAUUAUUUUUUCURUAAUUAAUACUAAAAAUUUUAAUAUUAUAACUAUUUUUAAUAUAUAUAUAUAUAUAUAUAUAUAAUAAAUAAAUAAAUAAAUAAAAAU
RNAcentral lists this ribosomal RNA (1339 nucleotides) under Phthiridium szechuanum. RNAcentral's name for it is "16S ribosomal RNA". Lineage: Eukaryota; Metazoa; Arthropoda; Insecta; Diptera; Nycteribiidae. The record is from RNAcentral.